This 497-nucleotide ribosomal RNA is filed under the name uncultured bacterium. Its description in RNAcentral is "partial 16S ribosomal RNA". It matches the Rfam family "Bacterial small subunit ribosomal RNA", at positions 28 to 507 of the family's 1533-position model. The record is from RNAcentral.
GAUGAACGCUGGCGGCGUGCCUAAUACAUGCAAGUCGAGCGAACAGAUAAGGAGCUUGCUCCUUUGAAGUUAGCGGCGGACGGGUGAGUAACACGUGGGUAACCUACCUAUAAGACUGGGAUAACUUCGGGAAACCGGAGCUAAUACCGGAUAACAUUUAGGACCGCAUGGUUCUAAAGUGAAAGAUGGUUUUGCUAUCACUUAUAGAUGGACCCGCGCCGUAUUAGCUAGUUGGUAAGGUAACGGCUUACCAAGGCGACGAUACGUAGCCGACCUGAGAGGGUGAUCGGCCACACUGGAACUGAGACACGGUCCAGACUCCUACGGGAGGCAGCAGUAGGGAAUCUUCCGCAAUGGGCGAAAGCCUGACGGAGCAACGCCGCGUGAGUGAUGAAGGGUUUCGGCUCGUAAAACUCUGUUAUUAGGGAAGAACAAAUGUGUAAGUAACUGUGCACAUCUUGACGGUACCUAAUCAGAAAGCCACGGCUAACUACGUG